UUACACGAUCUAAGACAGAAGGAGAGCGAUCAGGAGAGGAUAGAUAGAUCAGGAUGUUAUCAGCAUACAGGUGGUAUUGAAAGCCAAAUGAUGAGAUUAGUUUGCCAAGUGAGCAGGUGUAGAGAGAGAACAGAAGGGGUCCUAGAACUGAGCCUUGGGGUACCCCCACUGAGAGGGGAGGGGAAGAGAAGUGAACCAGGAGAGAGCAGUGUCACGGAGACCAAGAGCUUGAAGAGUUUGAAGGAGAAGAGGGUGGU
This is a long non-coding RNA of Spea bombifrons (plains spadefoot toad), 257 nucleotides long. RefSeq lists it as uncharacterized. NCBI's taxonomy places the organism in Eukaryota, Metazoa, Chordata, Amphibia, Anura, Pelobatidae. The record is from RefSeq and is a predicted model, not a curated record. The transcript has 2 exons.